Molecule: long non-coding RNA, 385 nt
Organism: Prionailurus viverrinus (fishing cat)
Lineage: Eukaryota; Metazoa; Chordata; Mammalia; Carnivora; Felidae
Exons: 3
Source: RefSeq, a predicted model, not a curated record
CCGCACUGCCGGUGGAACCACGGGGAAAGCAGCCCGGCCCAUCCCCCACGCUGGCGGCUUGUUUUCCUUCCACAGGCGGAAGGAAGGGAGGGAGAGAGCACUCGCACCCGGGACUGACCUUUGCUCUGUAAACUGUUAAAGCCAGAGCUUGGUAGGCUGGGGCCAGGUGUUAGAGACCCACAGGAUUAAAGAAUGUAAGCUUCAGGAAAAGAAACCUUGUUGUCUAGUGGAUAGUCAGCUCCUAGACCAGGACCGAAGCAUAAGAGACCAAGAAUAAUUGGCUUUUCUGCUUCUUGCUUCCUCUGCCUCCAGUGACAUUCUACUAGAUAUUUUGAUGGCUACCUUGUCAUCAGCUUCGAGGAUUUACAUAAAAUUCGCCUUUUUG